CCAAUAGCGUAUAUUAAAGUUGUUGCAGUUAAAAAGCUCGUGGUUGAAUUUCGGGAUCAAUAUAUCGGUCGUGCCAUCGGUACGUACUGGUAUCAUUGGUCUCUCCUUUCUGACGAACCAUGAUGUCAUUAAUUUGGUGUCAUGGGAAGUUAGGACUGUUACUUUGAAAAAAUUAGAGUGUUUAAAGCAGGCUUUAGCUUGAAUACAUUAGCAUGGAAUAAUGAAAUAGGGCGUUCGAACCUAUUUUGUUGGUUUCUAGGAUCAACGUAAUGAUUAAUAGGGAUAGUUGGGGGAAUUAGUAUUCAAUUGUCAGAGGUGAAAUUCUUGGAUUUAUUGAAGACUAACUACUGCGAAAGCAUUUGCCAAGGAUGUUUUCAUUAAUCAAGAACGAAAGUUAGGGGAUCGAAGACGAUCAGAUACCGUCGUAGUCUUAACCAUAAACUAUGCCGACUAGGGAUCGGAUGAUGUUAAUUUUUUAAUGACUCAUUCGGCGCCUUACG
This 500-nucleotide ribosomal RNA is filed under the name uncultured Glomeromycotina. Its description in RNAcentral is "partial small subunit ribosomal RNA". It matches the Rfam family "Eukaryotic small subunit ribosomal RNA", at positions 591 to 1092 of the family's 1831-position model. The record is from RNAcentral. Lineage: Eukaryota; Fungi; Glomeromycota.